AGCUGAAUUGCCGGGCAAAUCUCCCUUGGCAGGGGGCUUACCAUUUUGCUUCAAUGAGCUUAAUUUCUUGCAGGCUUGCAGCUAAAAGGCUCCUGCCAGAGGAGUUUUGCCCAGCAAUGCACUU
RNAcentral lists this microRNA precursor (124 nucleotides) under Olea europaea subsp. europaea. RNAcentral's name for it is "mir-399 microRNA precursor family". It matches the Rfam family "mir-399 microRNA precursor family". From Rfam's summary of the family: mir-399 was identified in both Arabidopsis thaliana and Oryza sativa computationally and was later experimentally verified. mir-399 is thought to target mRNAs coding for a phosphatase transporter. The mature sequence is excised from the 3' arm of the hairpin. Lineage: Eukaryota; Viridiplantae; Streptophyta; Magnoliopsida; Lamiales; Oleaceae. The record is from Rfam by way of RNAcentral.